CGGGCUUUUGCUGGGAAACCCCGUCGUUCGGGACGAUGGGGUCGCAGGUUCAAAUCCUGCCACUCCGACCA
This 71-nucleotide transfer RNA is filed under the name Mesorhizobium sp. RNAcentral describes it as "tRNA-Pro". The record is from RNAcentral. Lineage: Bacteria; Pseudomonadati; Pseudomonadota; Alphaproteobacteria; Hyphomicrobiales; Phyllobacteriaceae.